RNAcentral lists this transfer-messenger RNA (329 nucleotides) under bovine gut metagenome. Its description in RNAcentral is "Alphaproteobacteria transfer-messenger RNA". It matches the Rfam family "Alphaproteobacteria transfer-messenger RNA". Rfam says of the family: Bacterial tmRNA, also known as 10Sa RNA or SsrA, is named for its dual tRNA and mRNA-like properties. Its role is to liberate the mRNA from a stalled ribosome. To accomplish this part of the tmRNA is used as a reading frame that ends in a translation stop signal. The record is from RNAcentral.
GCAAUUUCCAGUAUAAAGAUUAUAAUCGUUGUGUCACGCAAGUGGUGAUGAUUCUGAACCCAUUGUGGAAUAGACGUUUUGGACCCGGGGGCGGUACCCGGCACCUCCACCAAUAAAAAUAUGGGGGGUGUACAAGUUUCGACAGACGUAAUAAAGGCAAAUGGCUGAAUCCGACGUGGUGUCGUUAAAGACCAACAAAAAAAUGAAUGCGAACGAUAAUGUUCGUCUUGCAAUGGCUGCCUAAGAUAUAGGUUGGAUAUAAUUGGCAAUGGUUGAUUAUGUCCGUUUGGCUUUUUGCGGGGCUGGCCGGGUGCCUGGCACCAGAAACC